Drosophila ananassae is the source of this 1315-nucleotide long non-coding RNA. RefSeq lists it as uncharacterized. The record is from RefSeq and is a predicted model, not a curated record. The transcript is spliced from 3 exons. Lineage: Eukaryota; Metazoa; Arthropoda; Insecta; Diptera; Drosophilidae.
CCGUUCCUGCCGCUUUCGGCUCAAUUUCUGUUGCUGCUGCUGCACAUCAUCCACGUCUCAAACAGGGUGGCAACGUAGCAGCGCAACAACCGAGACCGCGACACCGGACGCGCACUUAACCCCGCGACGAGGAUGGGCUGGCUAGCAAUAAAAAUGAACAUAUACAAAGUGCUCUGCGAAAAUUGUAUCUGGGGAGCACAGGAAGUUCCCUGUCUGCGAGGCGCCAAAAAUGGCGCACAAAAAUUUGGAUAAGAAAGAAGCGGAGGAGGGCAUGCCUGCCUGAAGCUUACGUAAGUGCAAAAAGCACAAACAGAGAGUGGGCGUGCGAAAGAGCCGGCACGAAACUUGCAAAACUUGUCGCCAAGGAAAUAGGGUGUCUCUGCUCUCUCUCUAUAUCACUCUCUCUCGAAUUACCUAGCAUUACAAUUGUAAUACAAUGGCGUGGAAUCGGAAUGCAGACACCCUGUGUCCUCUCUUUACAAGAGAGCGAACACCCACACACAUACAUAUAUAAUUGUGUGUACUGAGAUACUAUAUUGCAGUACAUAAUGAAAUCGAGAAAACUGAAAAUCAGAAACUAGCUACAACUCUGCCACGGCUACACUUUGAGGAAAGGAAGCGCAGGUGCAUCUAUCUCACCAUGACAAUUAGACCCCCGAUACUAUCGAUUGAUGAAGAUGAAGAGAUAUGAGCUCCCAAAAAAAAAAACACAUGUUUCCAUGAGAGGAGAGGAGAGCCAGGGCACCCAAAAAAAAACAAAAAAAAAAAUCUGUAUACGCAGAAAGCUUAGCUGCCGUGGAAGGGGCUAGCUAGAUGGCUGGUGGCAUGGAAAUGGAAACCUUGCAGUUAUCGAUUCGUCUCGCUCAUUGCGCAAUGAAAUGCAGCGGGGGCGGUCAGACACCGACAGCGACACCGACACCCGAGCGCCUAGAGAGUUGAGAGCGAGCCAACAGAGAGCCGAGGUACACCUGCAUCGGGCGGCGAUAGGAAAUGAAAUGCAAAUCGCAAGAGUGCCCAGCCAAACUCAUCAUCUUCCAGCCUCAAAGUUCAAAGUUCAGCAUGCAACUUGCAGUGUGCAGCGCAUGUCCGCAUUGGUGCACAACCAAGUCCCGGUUAAGUUUCCAGCUUUGUUGCACAGGAAGGUUUGUUUGCAUUUCCAAUGGUGUAUGGUGGAGUAUAUUUCGAAUGGCUUGGCAAGGACAGGACUGGACACAGGAGGCCUAUUCGUCCUAACAGAUACCAAAGAUCAUGGCUUUGCCUUAGAAAGAAUCAGAAGAUGUUCUCAAAGAAUAUAAAAUGUCUAAUUAAUGUCUAA